UACGGAGUGGGCGAGCGUUAUUCGGAAUUAUUGGGCGUAAAGGGCGCGUAGGCGGCUUCAUAAGUCAAAGGUGAAAUCCCUCGGCUCAACUGAGGAACUGCCUUUGAAACUGUGGAGCUUGAGGCCGGGAGGGGGUAGCGGAAUUCCCAGUGUAGCGGUGAAAUGCGUAGAUAUUGGGAGGAACACCAGUGGCGAAGGCGGCUACCUGGACCGGAACUGACGCUGAUGCGCGAAAGCGUGGGUAGCAAACAGG
This 253-nucleotide ribosomal RNA is filed under the name uncultured bacterium. RNAcentral describes it as "partial 16S ribosomal RNA". It matches the Rfam family "Bacterial small subunit ribosomal RNA", at positions 524 to 776 of the family's 1533-position model. The record is from RNAcentral.